This is a non-coding RNA of Pelobates cultripes (western spadefoot toad), 357 nucleotides long. The record is from the annotation of a GenBank genome assembly. Lineage: Eukaryota; Metazoa; Chordata; Amphibia; Anura; Pelobatidae.
CAUAUGCAAAGAGCCUGAGUUGAAAGGUAUCCAGCCCCAUAACUGCUAGGAAUCUCAGUGCUCCAUCAGCUGAUCUACUGCCUUAAGCAGAGCCUGAGUUCAUAUAUAGUCGGCCUCAGAGAUCCUUUAACUGAUCAUCUGCCCUAACCCAAAACCAUGAGUAUAUAUAUCCGGCCUCAGAACUGCUAGCAAACUCAGCCUCAUCAGCUGAUCCACCGCCAUAUGCAAAGAGCCUGAGUUGAUAGGUAUCCAGCCCCAUAACUGCUAGGAAUCUCAGUGCUCCAUCAGCUGAUCUGCUGCCUUAAGCAGAGACUGAGUUCAUAUAUAGUUGGCCUCAGAGCUCCUUUAACUGAUCUA